GAAUCCCGUGCCGGUGCCUCCCCCAGUCAAGCCCCCUGUGCAUGCUGCCAGCCGCCGCCCUUGCUGGGUUUUUCUCGGAGGGCCGGGCCGUGGGCCGAAGGAAGAAGAGAAUUUAUCCAAAGAUUAAAACUUGAAGCAACCCUUAAUGUGCAUGAUGGUUGUGUUAAUACAAUCUGUUGGAAUGACACUGGAGAAUAUAUUUUAUCUGGCUCAGAUGACACCAAAUUAGUAAUUAGUAAUCCUUACAGCAGAAAGGUUUUGACAACAAUUCGUUCAGGGCACCGAGCAAACAUAUUUAGUGCAAAGUUCUUACCUUGCACAAAUGAUAAACAGAUUGUAUCCUGCUCUGGAGAUGGAGUAAUAUUUUAUACCAACGUUGAGCAAGAUGCAGAAACCAACAGACAAUGCCAAUUUACGUGCCAUUAUGGAACUACUUAUGAGAUUAUGACUGUACCCAAUGACCCUUACACUUUUCUCUCUUGUGGUGAAGAUGGAACUGUUAGGUGGUUUGAUACACGCAUCAAAACUAGCUGCACAAAAGAAGAUUGUAAAGAUGAUAUUUUAAUUAACUGUCGACGUGCUGCCACGUCUGUUGCUAUUUGCCCACCAAUACCGUAUUACCUUGCUGUUGGUUGUUCUGACAGCUCAGUACGAAUAUAUGAUCGGCGAAUGCUGGGCACAAGAGCUACAGGAAAUUAUGCAGGUCGAGGGACUACUGGAAUGGUUGCCCGUUUUAUUCCUUCCCAUCUUAAUAAUAAGUCCUGCAGAGUGACAUCUCUGUGUUACAGUGAAGAUG
Molecule: small RNA, 796 nt
Filed under: Pan troglodytes (chimpanzee)
Lineage: Eukaryota; Metazoa; Chordata; Mammalia; Primates; Hominidae
Description: processed transcript
Source: RNAcentral